Molecule: long non-coding RNA, 731 nt
Organism: Mobula hypostoma (lesser devil ray)
Lineage: Eukaryota; Metazoa; Chordata; Chondrichthyes; Myliobatiformes; Myliobatidae
Exons: 4
Source: RefSeq, a predicted model, not a curated record
GCAGAGCUGCCAUUAUUGUCCAUCAUUACUUUCCUCUGAAUCUGAGAAGGCAGUUAAGAGUCAACCAGAUUCAUAAGUCUGGAAACACAGAGAGGUUAGAUAGGGUAAGGAUCGCAGAUUUCCUCCUCUCAAAGGCACAGAUACUCACAGGAGGACCAGCUGGACCAGGCAGACCAUCAUUGCCACGUGCUCCCUGUGAAACAAAAAGUUGUACUUACAGCUGAACCAGGUGCCCCAGGACGACCUCUCUCACCAGGUAGACCACGUGGACCCUGUCAAGAAAAGAAAGCAUCUUCUUUGAGUUCUACAGUUAACAUUUCCUGCUAGUAAAAGACACAGCAUGGAGAAGGCCCUUCCAGCCCAAUGAGCAGCCCAGCAACCCACCACAUUUAAUCCCAGUCUAAUCACAGGACAAUUUAUAAUGACGAAUUAACCUACUAACCGGUAUGUCUUUGGACUGUGGGAGGAAACCAGAGCAUCCCGAAGAAACACACGCACUUAUGGGAAGGGCAUAUGGGCUCCUUACAGAUGACAUCAGAAUUGAACUCUGAACCCUGACACCCCGAGCUGUAAUAGUGUCAUGCUAACCACUAUGCUACCAUGGCACCUCAAUACUGGCCUGUCUUAAGAUAUAGUAUGAGUACUGUAAUAUUGCUUUGUAAAUUAUUAGCAUACCUAGGCAUGUAGUAACUAAGAUGACUUUAAUGAGAUUUUGAAAUAUGAAAUAAAGA